UACGGAGGGGGCUAGCGUUGUUCGGAAUUACUGGGCGUAAAGCGCACGUAGGCGGCUUUGUAAGUUAGAGGUGAAAGCCCGGGGCUCAACUCCGGAAUUGCCUUUAAGACUGCAUCGCUAGAAUUGUGGAGAGGUGAGUGGAAUUCCGAGUGUAGAGGUGAAAUUCGUAGAUAUUCGGAAGAACACCAGUGGCGAAGGCGACUGACUGGACAAGUAUUGACGCUGAGGUACGAAAGCGUGGGGAGCAAACAGG
Molecule: ribosomal RNA, 253 nt
Filed under: uncultured bacterium
Lineage: Bacteria
Description: partial 16S ribosomal RNA
Rfam family: Bacterial small subunit ribosomal RNA
Source: RNAcentral